RNAcentral lists this long non-coding RNA (731 nucleotides) under Felis catus (domestic cat). RNAcentral describes it as "lncRNA (ENSFCAG00000051048.1)". The record is from RNAcentral. Lineage: Eukaryota; Metazoa; Chordata; Mammalia; Carnivora; Felidae.
CUGACCGGGCCUAGGAUGGGCCCGACACAAAGCUGGGGUGGCACCAGGGCCAGAAUCCCGGGGGUCCGAUCGCCAGCCCCACAUGUGGCACUGAGUCCCAAGGGGACAGAGCAGGUGGAGGGCAGGUGAGCACCUCCCAAGCCCCUCCACAUCUCCCUGAAUUUCCCACCAGGACGGAGACAGUCAGAUUGGUAUGACUGAUGAGCACCAAGACUGGCAGGAGGGAGACCUGGCCUGGUCCUGGCAGGAGGGAGGGGCAGGAGGGAGGGGGCAGGGGGCAAGGGAAGGGACUCAGUCUCCUGUUCCUGCCCAGGCUAUCCCUCUCAGCCUCAGAGGCCGGUGGCCGAGGCCCAGCCAGCCAGCCAGUCUUGCCAUGACCUCUGAUGUCAUUCUAGGCGUCCUCUUCUCAGCCUCCACUGUUCUGAGAUGCUGGCCUCUGAAUGAACGGAUGCUCAGGAGGAGGUGACGAGGGUGCUCACAUCACAGAGCACGGUGAGCUGACACUCAGAAGAUGCCGUAGCACCUGGUGCACAGAAAACGCUACGUCUGUCCAGUUACAGAUGUCGUGGAUCAAGACUAGGGAUUUGGGGAGCAGCCAGGUGUGGCCCUGCUCUCAGGGUUCUCCCGGGUCUGGGGCGGCAGACACACGGCUCACGUCAACCCUCGCGGGCAGCCUGGGGCAGGAGAGGGGGCUCACUCCUGGGGACGUGGGGCUUGGAGGGAGGCCGGGG